GAUGAACGCUGGCGGCGUGCCUAAUACAUGCAAGUCGAGCGAAAAGACGAGGAGCUUGCUCCUCUGACGUUAGCGGCGGACGGGUGAGUAACACGUGGAUAACCUACCUAUAAGACUGGGAUAACCUCGGGAAACCGGAGCUAAUACCGGAGAAUAUAUUGAACCGCAGUGGGGGAUAGUGAGAGACGGUGUUGCUGUCACUUAUAGAUGGUUCCGCGCCGGAUUGGCUAGUUGGGAAGGUAACGGGUUACCAAGGCAACGAGGCGUAGCCGACGUGUGAGGGUGGUCGGCCACAUUGGAACUGGGACAGGGUCAAGACUCCUACGAGAGGGAGCAGUAGGGAAUCGUACGCAAUGGGCGAGAGCAUGACGGAGCAACGCCGCGUGAGUGAUGAAGGUCUGCGGAUCGUAAAACUCUGUUAUGAGGGGUGAACAAAUGUGUAAGUAGCUAUGCACGGCUUGACGGUACCUAAUCAGAAAGCCCCGGCUAACUACGUG
This 497-nucleotide ribosomal RNA is filed under the name uncultured bacterium. RNAcentral's name for it is "partial 16S ribosomal RNA". It matches the Rfam family "Bacterial small subunit ribosomal RNA", at positions 28 to 507 of the family's 1533-position model. The record is from RNAcentral.